RNAcentral lists this long non-coding RNA (573 nucleotides) under Pan troglodytes (chimpanzee). RNAcentral's name for it is "long non-coding RNA NONPTRT001428". The record is from RNAcentral. Lineage: Eukaryota; Metazoa; Chordata; Mammalia; Primates; Hominidae.
CUCAUUUAUAUCUCCUCAACAUUCCUAUGUUGAAGUCCUAAGCCCUGAGUGCCCCAGAAUGUGACCAUAUUUGGAGAAAGGGUCUUUAAAGAUGUGGUUAAGUUAAAAUGAGGCCAUUAAGCUGGCCCUAAUCCAAUAUGAUGGAUGUCCUUAUUGAAAGAAGAGAUCAGGGCACCGCAGGAAGGCCAUGUGGAGACACAGAGAGAGAUGGCAAUCUGUAAGCCAGGAAGAGAGACCGCAGGAGAAACGAACUCUGCUGACACCUCGAUCUCAGACUUUUAGCCUCCAGAACUAUGAGAAAAUAAGUUUCUGUUUUUGAAGUUCCCCUGUGGUAUUUUGUCAUAGCAGCCCUAGGAGAUUAAUACACUCCCCUCCCUGCCACACACACCUCCACAUGCACACACACACCUCCAUAUACACACACCUUCACAUGCGCACACACACCUCCACAUGCACACACCUCCACUUGCAUACACACACCUUCACAUGCACACCUCCACCUGCACACGCACACCUCCAUAUGCACACACCUCCACUUGCAUACACACACCUUCACAUGCACAUGCAUGCCUC